RNAcentral lists this long non-coding RNA (2132 nucleotides) under Glycine max (soybean). Its description in RNAcentral is "long non-coding RNA (GMAX_LNC003508)". Lineage: Eukaryota; Viridiplantae; Streptophyta; Magnoliopsida; Fabales; Fabaceae. The record is from RNAcentral.
UGGUGUACCUCUGAUAACGAACCAACCACUGCAACAAUCACCAUUGACCUGUAACAAUUUCACCUUGACCGAAGUGGCACCUUUCUCAACAAUGAAUAACCAACACGAAAGGGAGAAAGUAAAGAACAAAGCAUGGAGGCGUAAAUGAAAAAAAGGAAAGAAACCAACUUAAAAAGGAAGAAGAAAGCACAUGGACAUUUACGGAAUUAACUAAAUUGCUGGGUGCACAAGCAAUAACACUGGUGCACCUAGCAUAAUGGAGAAGGAGCAAUGUGUGAUGAUUAAAGGGAUCCCAUAGAAAACCCUAUGGCUAUGGGGUUCUGGGUGUUUCUUUUUACACUUUCUAAUUAUAUAAGUAGCGGAGACCAAAAUUUUUUGUAAACACAUUAUAAGUAAUUCUUUUAAAACAAAAUUUUGUAAAAACUUCCACACGGAGCAAGAACAGUUAACACAUUAUUUACACACUUGUAAAUUUUGUAAAAAAAUUACACACUAUAAGUAAUUCUUUUGAAUUUUUUACAAAAUAAUAUUUUUAAGUCAUAAAAUUUCCACACUAAUAAUAAUAAUAAAUCUAUCUUAUAUUGAUACCAAUAUCUUGAAGUAUUUUAAAAUAAUAAAUAAAUAUUAUGAGUAAUAUAAUAGUUAAAAUAAAAAGUGUAAUAUAAAAAUAUCCAAAAAAUGAGUGAAAAUAAUAUUAUCUAUCAUUAUUAAUAUCUUAUGUAAUAAAAUGGUUAAAUAAAAAAACCUUAUUUAAUAUAUAAAAAAAGUAAAACAUAAUAAAAUCCUACCUUAUGAGUAGAAGGGAAGCAAUAUAUAAAUUCUUACAUUGUCUAGAAAAGGGUAAAAUUCAACAAAAAACUUUAAGAAUAAAAGAAAAAUAAAAUAUAAACUUUGAAGCUAGUGUUUUAAAAACUUGCUUGAAGUAGAGUCUUAAAAAAAUACUAUAAUUUAUUAAAAAAAAUUAAUUACCAAACAAUUUAAAUUAGAUUAAACAAGUUAUUUAAUUAAUAAAUAAUACUAAAAAUUAACUAAAAUGACAUAUCAAACACAACUUUUAAAUAUGGAUUGUAAAAAUAGGUAGUCUUAGUGAAGAUUACUAGUAGGAUCUCGUGAGGAUAUUGCACACCAGUGGAGACCACAAUAUAAGUGAAACAAACUAAAAAAUUUGUUUUUGUUUCUUUUCAUAAUUAAAGAAUAAUAUAUUUUUUCUAUUAGCAUUGCAAGUUAAAAGGCUUACUCGUAUGUAUUAUCAACAACAAGCCAAGAGCCAGCAUUCUUGCAAAGAUCUGAAAUCCUCUGAUCAAAUAAGAGAAAAUACUCAGAAAUUUUAUAAUUUUUUUUAUAAGAAAAACUACUGCUACUGUUAUGGUCAAUCAGCAUAUUGUUUGGGAAUAUUAUCUGGUGGCCACACAGGAAGAUUAAAAAAAGAAGCAGUUCUAAAGUCAUACCAGCGGUUGAUAAUUUCAGUGGGAGAGAGAGACCUUUAGAAGGGGGCUCUGGAAUAUAAGUUCCAAAUUUCAUAGAGCAAAUAAGUUAAUUCAUUGGUCACCGAGAUCCAAAUUUCAUAGAGCAAAUAAGUUAAUUCAUUGGUCACCGAGAUCCAAAUUUCAUAGAGCAAAAUAAAUUAUCAUAGAGCAAUUGCAUACAAAAGGCCUAAUAUAAAAGCAAUUAAUUUCUAAUUUUUAUUUAUUUUUAAAAUAAAGUAACAUCCAAAACAUAGGGUGAGACCUGGAUGGAUUACAGCUAUAAGUAACAUCAUGUGAUUAUGGAAAGUAAAAACAAUGCAUGUCCAAGAAUUUUGACGGAUGAAGGAAAAAAGACAGAUGAUGAUAUUCAGGAAAAACUUACACUAUAUAAAAUGUACAGCUAGUCAGAUGUAUUGAUGAUGAUGAUGAUGAUGAUGAUGAUGAUGAUGAUGAUGAUGAUGAUGAUGAUGAUGAUGAUGAUGAUGAUAAAUGUAUGCUUUUUUUAUAUUUGAAAUCUACUGAUCCCAUAAUUCAAAGACGUUAAUCAUAACUAAUUACUAUUUCAUAAGCGGCAUACAUUAAUUUCUAAUUUCAAAUGACUGCUAAAUCCUUUAGCAACUAAAGCUGAUGCUUACCUCCAAAUAGUGAGACAGGACAAUCAAAGUC